This 253-nucleotide ribosomal RNA is filed under the name uncultured bacterium. RNAcentral describes it as "partial 16S ribosomal RNA". It matches the Rfam family "Bacterial small subunit ribosomal RNA", at positions 524 to 776 of the family's 1533-position model. RNAcentral also lists the same sequence under 1 other name. The record is from RNAcentral.
UACGGAGGGUGCAAGCAUUGAUCGGAAUUACUGGGCGUAAAGGGCGCGCAGGCGGUUAGGAAAGUCAGAUGUGAAAUUCCGGGGCUCAACCCCGGAGCUGCAUUUGAAACUUCCUUUCUAGAGUUCAGUUAGGGAAAACGGAAUUCCACGUGUAGCGGUGAAAUGCGUAGAUAUGUGGAAGAACACCAGUGGUGAAGACGGUUUUCUGGGCUGAUACUGACGCUGAGGCGCGAAAGCAAGGGGAGCAAACAGG